This 438-nucleotide ribosomal RNA is filed under the name uncultured bacterium. Its description in RNAcentral is "bacterial SSU rRNA". It matches the Rfam family "Bacterial small subunit ribosomal RNA", at positions 30 to 474 of the family's 1533-position model. The record is from RNAcentral.
UGAACGCUAGCGGCAGGGUCUUAAGACAUGCAAGUCGAACGGCAAGACUUGUAGCAAUACGAGUCCUAGAGUGGCGUAAGGGUGCGUAACACGUAUGCAAUCUGCCCGCAACAGGAGUAUAGCUCCCCGAAAGGGGAAUUAAUGCUCCAUAGGAAUAUCUGAGGGCAUCUGAGGAUAUUUAAACCUGUAGGGGUUGCGGAUGAGCAAUAGCGCAUGAUUAGUUAGUUGGCAGGGUAACGGCCUACCAAGACGAUGAUCAUUAGGGGAACUGAGAGGUUGAUCCCCCACACUGGCACUGAGAUACGGGCCAGACUCCUACGGGAGGCAGCAGUCGGGAAUAUUGGGCAAUGGGCAAAGCCUGACCCAGCGACGCCGCGUGAGGGAUGAAGGUCUUCGGAUUGUAAACCUCUUUCAGUUAGGGAAGAAGCGAAAGUGACG